This 2250-nucleotide ribosomal RNA is filed under the name Cochliopodium minus. Its description in RNAcentral is "partial 18S ribosomal RNA". It matches the Rfam family "Eukaryotic small subunit ribosomal RNA". Lineage: Eukaryota; Discosea; Himatismenida; Cochliopodiidae. The record is from RNAcentral.
CUCAAAGAUUAAGCCAUGCAAUUGCAAGUAUGAACAACUCGUAUUUGUUAAACUGAGGACAGCUUAUUAAAAAAGUUAUAAUUUAUUUGAACGUGGAACCUUAAAACAGGUUCAUUUUAUCUAUUUAAGUGGAAUAAUUGUGGGAAAGCUAGAAAUAAUACAUGCAAAAAGGGGAAACUAUUUUAAUUUAUUUAAAAUAGAAUCCUUGCAUUAACUGGUAAAUCAAAAGAAUACAAAAAAUAAAAAUCUUUAAUUGAUGAAACACAGUUCACUAAAUAGCAAAGUGUUUAUAAUAAAACACUGCUUCAUUCAAAUUUCUUAUCUAUCAACUUUCGAUGAUUGUAUAGAGGACAAUCAUGGUUUUAACGGGUAACAGAGAAUAAGGGUUUUAUUCUGGAGAGGGAGCCUAGAGAAAUUGCUACCACUUCCAAGGAAGGCAGCAGGCGCGAAAAUUACCCAAUAAAAAUACUUUGAGGUAGUAACAAAAAAUAACGACAACGUUUUAAUAUCAUUUUAAUUUUUUUAUUUAUGAAUAAUAGAUAWAAAAAAAAUAAAAUAUAAAUGAUAUUGUUGAUUGUAAUGAGUACAAUUUAAAAAAAUUAAUUAGAAUCAAUUAGAGGGCAAGUCUGGUGCCAGCAGCCGCGGUAAUUCCAGCUCUAAUAGCGUAUAUUUAAGUUGUUGUAUUUAAAAAGCUCGUAGUUGAAAUUUGAAAUUAAAUUUACAUAAUUAAAUAWUAAUAAUAAAAUAARUUAAUACUUUUUUUAUUAUUAUUUUUUUAUUUUAAUUUCAUAUUAUGAAAAUAAUUUAAAAUAUAUUUUUUAAAUUGUUUUUCAUUUUACCAUAAGUAAAAUAGAGUGUUUAAAGCAAGACAUUUAUGUCUAUUGAAUAAUAGAGUAUGGGAUAAUAAAAGAUGAAAGAGAGAAGAUUAUAUAUUUUUUGUAUUCAGAAAUAAAAAUAUAACAAUUUUUAUUUCUUAUCUUCUCACUUUAAUGAUUAAUAGGGACUAUUGGGGCAAUUAAUAUUUCUACACGAGCGGUGAAAUGUUUAGACUGUAGAAAGAUUAACUAAUGCGAAAGCAUUUUGCAAAGGUGUUUUCAUUAAUCAAGAACGAAAGUUAAGGGAUUGAAGAUGAUCAGAUACCGUCGUAAUCUUAACUAUAAACAAUGUCGACAAAAGAUGGGAUUGAUUGUAUAAAUAUAUAAUCUUUCUUAUAAAUAAAAAAAGGUACUAUUAUUAAAUAGAAAAAAAAAGUAGAGUAAGWAAUUAUUUCUWUUYUUUUUUCUAUAAUAACUGUCUCUUCCCGAAUUUCGUAAGAAAUUAAGAGUGAUCGGACUUUGGGGGGAGUAUGGUCGCAAGGCUGAAACUUAAAGGAAUUGACGGAAGAGCACCACAAGGUUGUGGAACUUGCGGUUUAAUUUGACUCAACACGGGAAAACUCACCAGGUCAGGACAUAAUAAGGAUUGACAGAUUAAUAGAUCUUUCAAAAAAAUAAWUAAAAUUAAAUUAUAAAUAGUUAAUAGUAAAAUAUUAAUUAUUUAUAAUUUAAUUUAAAAAAAAUAGAUUUUAUGAUGAGUGGUGCAUGGCCGAUCUUAGUUCGUGGAAUGAUUUGUCUACUUAAUUGUGUUAACGAACGAGACCUUUAGAGAUAAAUAGUAAUAAAUGGAAGGUGUAUUAAAAAAACAAUUAAAAUGUCUUUAGAAGAAGGGCAUGUUUCCCCUUUUAAAUGUCAUCAUUUUAAUUGUAAUCUUUCAUUUAUUUAAUUAAAUAAUUAAAAAAAAUAAUAAACUUCUUAUUUCGACUAUUGGUGUUAAACCAAUGUAAGUUAAAGGUAAUAUCAGGUCUGUGAUGCCCUUAGAUGUUCUGGGCCACACGCGUGUUACAAUGGUAAAGAUCAAAGGGUAAAAAUAUAAUAUAARAAUUAUUUAUAAUUUUUAUUUUAUAAUUCAUUGCUUAACAGAAAUGUUUGGCUAAUCCUUUUUCGAAUCUUUUUUACCAUAUCUGGGAUAGAUGCUUGUAAUUUUUCAUCUUCAACUUGGAAUACCUAGUAAACAUAAUUCAACAAAUUAUGUUGAUUACGUCCCUGCUCUUUGUACACACCGCCCGUCGCUCCUACCGAUUGAAUUAUCCGAUGAGUUGUAAAGAGAUUUUUUUUUAUAAAAURAAAAAGAUUAAAUUACAACAAAUCUUAUAAUUUAGAGGAAGGAGAAGUCGUAACAAGGUAAUCCGUWGGUGAACCUGCAGAAGGAUCA